This 253-nucleotide ribosomal RNA is filed under the name uncultured bacterium. Its description in RNAcentral is "partial 16S ribosomal RNA". It matches the Rfam family "Bacterial small subunit ribosomal RNA", at positions 524 to 776 of the family's 1533-position model. The record is from RNAcentral.
UACGUAGGUGGCAAGCUUUGUCCGGAUUUACUGGGCGUAAAGGGCGUGCAGGCGGUUUGUUAAGUCUAGGGUGAAAGCUCCCGGCUCAACUGGGAGAGGUCCUUGGAUACUGGCAAACUUGAGGGAUGCAGAGGAAAGUGGAAUUCCCGGUGUAGUGGUGAUAUGCGUAGAUAUCGGGAGGAACACCAGUGGCGAAGGCGGCUUUCUGGGCAUUACCUGACGCUGAGACGCGAAAGCGUGGGGAGCGAACCGG